UACGAAGGGGGCUAGCGUUGCUCGGAAUCACUGGGCGUAAAGGGUGCGUAGGCGGGUCUUUAAGUCAGGGGUGAAAUCCUGGAGCUCAACUCCGGAACUGCCUUUGAUACUGAAGAUCUUGAGUUCGGGAGAGGUGAGUGGAACUGCGAGUGUAGAGGUGAAAUUCGUAGAUAUUCGCAAGAACACCAGUGGCGAAGGCGGCUCACUGGCCCGAUACUGACGCUGAGGCACGAAAGCGUGGGGAGCAAACAGG
This 253-nucleotide ribosomal RNA is filed under the name uncultured bacterium. Its description in RNAcentral is "partial 16S ribosomal RNA". It matches the Rfam family "Bacterial small subunit ribosomal RNA", at positions 524 to 776 of the family's 1533-position model. The record is from RNAcentral.